This 245-nucleotide ribosomal RNA is filed under the name uncultured bacterium. RNAcentral's name for it is "partial small subunit ribosomal RNA". It matches the Rfam family "Bacterial small subunit ribosomal RNA", at positions 26 to 285 of the family's 1533-position model. The record is from RNAcentral.
AGAAUCAACGCUGGCGGCGUGCCUAACACAUGCAAGUCGAACGAGGAAGUGGAGCAAUCCAUGAGUAAAGUGGCGACCGGGUGAGUAACACGUGACUAACCUACCUUCGAGUGGGGGAUAACCUCGGGAAACCGAGGCUAAUACCGCAUAACAUCGCAAGAUCAAAGCAGCAAUGCGCUGGAAGAGGGGGUCGCGGCUGAUUAGCUAGUUGGCGGGGUAACGGCCCACCAAGGCGAAGAUCGGUA